This 536-nucleotide ribosomal RNA is filed under the name Trigonopterus sp. 262 AR-2022a. RNAcentral's name for it is "partial large subunit ribosomal RNA". The record is from RNAcentral. Lineage: Eukaryota; Metazoa; Arthropoda; Insecta; Coleoptera; Curculionidae.
GGCCUKUUGAUUAUAAUUUUAGGUYUGRCCUGCCCAAUGAAUAAUUUAAUGGCCGCGGUAUWUUGACCCUGCAAAGGUAGCAUAGUAAUUAGUUUUUUAAUUGAAAGCUUGUAUGAAAGGUUCGAUGAAAAAGUUUCUGUCUCUAAGAAAAUUUAUUAGAAUUUUAUUUUUGAGUUAAAAAGCUUGGAUGUAUAUAGAAGACGAGAAGACCCUAUAGAGUUUUAUAUUUGUUUUUUAGAGAUGAAUAUAGGUUUCUGAGUUUGUUUUUAAAGAAAAGUAUUUUAUUGGGGUGAUAAAAAAAUUAAUUAAACUUUUUUUUGUUUAAAACAUUUAUUUAUGAUUAUAUGAUCCUAAAGUUUAGAUUAUAAGAUUGAAUUACCUUAGGGAUAACAGCGUAAUUUUUUUUAGAGUUCUUAUCAAAAAAAAAGAUUGCGACCUCGAUGUUGGAUUAAAAUAAAUUGUUGGUGUAGAAGCUGAAUGAUUAGGUCUGUUCGACCUUUAAAAUUUUACAUGAUCUGAGUUUARACCGGCGUGAG